GACGAACGCUGGCGGCGUGCUUAACACAUGCAAGUCGAACGGAGAGGCCCUGCUUUUGUGGGGUGCUCGAGUGGCGAACGGGUGAGUAACACGUGAGUAACCUGCCCUUGACUUUGGGAUAACUUCAGGAAACUGGGGCUAAUACCGGAUAGGAGCUCCUGCUGCAUGGUGGGGGUUGGAAAGUUUCGGCGGUUGGGGAUGGACUCGCGGCUUAUCAGCUUGUUGGUGGGGUAGUGGCUUACCAAGGCUUUGACGGGUAGCCGGCCUGAGAGGGUGACCGGCCACAUUGGGACUGAGAUACGGCCCAGACUCCUACGGGAGGCAGCAGUGGGGAAUAUUGCACAAUGGGCGGAAGCCUGAUGCAGCAACGCCGCGUGCGGGAUGACGGCCUUCGGGUUGUAAACUGCUUUCGCCUGUGACGAAGCGUGAGUGACGGUAAUGGGUAAAGAAGCACCGGCUAACUACGUG
Molecule: ribosomal RNA, 468 nt
Filed under: uncultured bacterium
Lineage: Bacteria
Description: partial 16S ribosomal RNA
Rfam family: Bacterial small subunit ribosomal RNA
Source: RNAcentral